This 527-nucleotide long non-coding RNA is filed under the name Oryza brachyantha (malo sina). RNAcentral's name for it is "long non-coding RNA (OBRA_LNC002658)". Lineage: Eukaryota; Viridiplantae; Streptophyta; Magnoliopsida; Poales; Poaceae. The record is from RNAcentral.
AAAUGUGCAGUUAGUUUUCAAAGUAGAGUCAGUUAUGCCCAUUUAUCAUUUAUUAAUCUCACUGUCUCACACGAACAAAAACCAUAGAAAGUUGCAUAAUAAAUGGCAAUUGUCAAUUGACAUGACUUGCAUCAAUUAGGACCUUCAAUUAGAAACUUUCUAGGUGUUUCUCUGAAUUUUUCCAAAUUGAAACCCUACCAUCCUAACCCUACAAUAUAAACAAGAAAAAGACCAACAACAAAUUUAGGGCUCUAUAUCUUACAAAUCAGAUUAAUUGAGAAAGGAAUAGAGGGAAAAUGUUGUGCUUAUCUACUUUUUGCCGGUCUGUGGGCAAGCUGCGAUGAUGAUUCGCCGGCGUCGGCCACGGCGAUCGGCGCACUGCAUGGACGUGGAACCGAUUGGAGCCUGGAGGAGAGGACCGAAGAGGUGAGAGGUCGUGAAGACUGAAGACGAAGAGACGGAGCCGGCGAGAGGGAUGCGCAUGCCUCGGUGUGUGACUUAAGAAAAAGAUAGAAACUAUCGAUCUG